Podarcis lilfordi (Lilford's wall lizard) is the source of this 274-nucleotide non-coding RNA. NCBI's taxonomy places the organism in Eukaryota, Metazoa, Chordata, Lepidosauria, Squamata, Lacertidae. The record is from the annotation of a GenBank genome assembly.
CCCAAUCACCUUCUAAAUCUGGCCUGCGGACGGUCUGGGAAUCAGCGUGUUUUUACAUGAGUAGAAUGUAUCCUUUUAUUUAAAAUGCAUCUCUGGGUUAUUUGUGGAGCCUGCCUGGUGUUUUUACAUGAGUAGAAUGUGUGCUUUUAUUUAAAAUGCAUCUCUGGGUUAUUUGUGGGGCAUAGGAAUUCGUUCAUUUCCCCCCCAAAAAUAUACUCCGGCCCCCCACAAGGUCUGAGGGACAGUGGACCGGCCCCCUGCUGAAAAAGUUUGC